GGAUCGUGACUCAGUGGUAGAGUGCUCGCCUAGCAUGUACGAGGCACUGGGUUCGAUCCUCAGCACCA
RNAcentral lists this transfer RNA (68 nucleotides) under Marmota monax (woodchuck). Its description in RNAcentral is "tRNA.Ala". The record is from RNAcentral. Lineage: Eukaryota; Metazoa; Chordata; Mammalia; Rodentia; Sciuridae.